This 1176-nucleotide ribosomal RNA is filed under the name Triticum aestivum (bread wheat). RNAcentral describes it as "partial small subunit ribosomal RNA". The record is from RNAcentral. Lineage: Eukaryota; Viridiplantae; Streptophyta; Magnoliopsida; Poales; Poaceae.
AUGCUUCGCAGCCGCCGCCUCCUCCUCCCCGGCGGCCGCAUCCCGCCCAUAUCGCCAGUCUCGUGCGGCCAUCCCUCUCUCGCGCAUUUCCUCAAACACCUGCUGGGCGGCCCCGCCGGCCUCUCCAACGCCGCGGCGGACCCGUGCUCCCUCACGCUCCACUUCCUCCGCAACUCCUGCGGCCUCUCGGAGCCCGCCGCCGCCAAGGUCGCCGCGCGCGUCCACCUGCGCUCCACCAACAGGGCGCACGCCGUCCUCGCCCUCUUCCGCGGCCUCGGCCUGGCGGGCGCCGACCUCGCCCGCGUCGUGGCCGCCGCCCCCGAGAUGCUCAACUACCGCGCCGACGCCAUCCUCGCGCCCAAGCUCGACUUCUUCCGCCGGGACCUGGGCCUCACCGACGACCACAUCCGCAAGACCAUCCUCGCCAACCCGUACCGCUCCCUCUGCUACAGCCUCGAGCGCCGCCUCCGCCCGAACUACCUCCUCCUCCGGGAGCUCCUCGGCACCGACCAGAACGCGCGCUCAGCCGUCAAGCAGUCCUUUGAGCUCAUCCACGGCAACGUCCGCUCCGACCUGCUCCCCAAGGUCAAGAUCCUCCGCGACCAUGGCGCCACGGACGCUGUCAUCGUCAAGCUGGUCACCACGCACCCCAGGUCGCUCAUUCACAGGUCCUCCUUCUUCAACGAGAGCCUGGCUGCCAUGAAAGAGCUCGGGGUCAGCCCGUCCUCCGGCAUCUUCCCUUACGCCUUUGGGCUGUUUGCCAGGCUGAGUCCGGUGACCUGGAAGCGCAGGAUCGACAAUUAUCUCAGCUUGGGGUGGACCGAGGAGCUGGUGAAGCUGGCCUUUGUCAGGCACCCCUACUGCAUGUCUGUAUCGGACGACAAAGUGAGGCGUAUCUCGCACUUCUUUGCCGAUAAGCUUGGCUGGAGCCCAGAGUAUGUUUCGGCUAGCCCGAUGCUUAUCUCGCUCAGCUACGAGAAGCGGCUCCUACCAAGGUACCGGGUGCUGGACAUAUUGGUGUCAAGGGGUUUCAUCCGGCGCAUCCGAAUAAGCCACUUGAUACUGGGGGAGAAGAAGUUCAUGGAGAAGUAUGUCACUGGUUACCAGCAAACUAUUCCUGAAGUUCUGGAAGCUUAUAGAGGAGCUGGGACAGACAGUGCUGUGACUGUGAAGUAG